Molecule: long non-coding RNA, 2614 nt
Organism: Acanthopagrus latus (yellowfin seabream)
Lineage: Eukaryota; Metazoa; Chordata; Actinopteri; Spariformes; Sparidae
Exons: 4
Source: RefSeq, a predicted model, not a curated record
GGACAACUUUAUCUGGUACUAAGUAGCAGCUAAAAGAGGAGCUAGUUCAGCAGUCUGCAAACCAAGUUAAGCAUUUAACGUUAGCAUUUUAAAAAAAAAAAAUGUUAUUUGCAUACUGCCAUGAAAUAUGAACAGCUGUUUUCUGGAGUGAAGACUGAGGGCUUCUUUUUUUUUUUACAGAUGUGUGUGUUCAGUAGAGCUGAUGUUAUAUUUCUGACCAACCAGUGUGUGAAAUAAAGUGUGACAGACUAGAUUUAAGUAGCUAUUACACAAGAACAAGCUGGGAUUUAUUUAUCUGCUCUGUGAUUUAAGGGCUGUUUAAAGACUUUAUGCUCUUGGAGAUAAAGCACUUUGUGUUUGUAUCAAUUAGCUCAUCUUAACAGUUCACAUAUUUUUAGAUGUUUAAAUAUGCAGAAGACGAGCAAAUUGCAUUCAAAUGCCACACAUGCUUGAGAUGCAGUAUGUGUUAAUUGUGUUAUUAAAAGUGAUGGAAGUUGUCGGUAGUUAUGUAAAAAUAAACCUUUGUAGAUACUAUAAAUAGACAUAAUUAGGCACAUUGUUGACACCUCCUUUCUUUUUGGCAUUUUAAUGGAGUCAAAGCUGUUUUUAAGACCUGUAGUUUGCAUACUGAUUCUAACCCAGUUUGACAAUGAUCCUGCUUGAUGUUUGUAGUUACAGCUAUUACAUCACAGUGAAUUGACUGACUGAUUGAGUGAUUGAAUUCCAUUUCCCCAGGGUUAUUUAGAGAAUAGCUAUGGCCCGGUCCAGUCAGCAGCCUCAGUACAGCUGUAGUAACCCAGAGCAGUCAGCUCCCCCUGCACAGGAUGCUGACCGGCCACACCCAGAAGAGGAGGAGAUAGUGAGAGAUGAGUGUGAUUCAGCAGUGUCUGGAGCUCCACCUGCUGAGCAUGACAUUUCUCAAACCAGAGCUGCAGGCCCUGCUCGCCCUCCCUCGUACUCAGCACGGACAGGGUAGAACCAGUAGGAUAUUAUUAAAGGAUAUUGUUGUUACAUGGUGUCCAUGCCAGAAGAAAAUCUUAAAAAAAAAAAAAGAUGCUGUUUGAAACCAUCCCCAUGUUCACUGGAGGAACCUGCAACCCUCAGUUCAUGGUGUACCAGCUGAAGAUGAAGAUCCACACGUCGAACCCAAGAAGACAAGCUGAUGCUGUUUGAGUUCCCGCAGCCGCUUCCUGUUUGUGGAGACAUCAUGGUGGAGUCCUUCCACAAGUAGAACAAGAUGAUGAGGACGGUGAAGCUGUACUUCACUAAGACGGUAGAAGAAUUAGCUGACUGUGACGCCAGCAGCACGUUGGCCUCUGUGACACUGAACGUUAGCGACACCUGAGAGGGAGUGAGGGAGAGACGGAGGGAGAGAGAGAGAGACACAGACAGCAGGUCAUUACUGUACCUGCACACAUGACAAGACUACAGGUUGUUCCUGCACCUGUGAUGGAGCUGCUCAUACACAUUCAAGGACAAGAGCCACUCACUGCCUCCAUGUUGGCUGCAGCUCCACUCAUGGAUCAAUAACAGCUUCUUGGGGAGCGACUGUACCCAAUGAUUCAGGCCCUUCAGCCAAAUUUGGCUGGUAAAAUUACUGGGAUACUGCUGGAGAUUGACAACUGGGAGCUGCUGUACAUGCUGAAGGCUGCUGAAGAGAUAUUUGAGCUGUUUGAAAGAACGAUAGCAGAGCAGAGCACAUGACUGUGAGUGUUACUGUGAUCUUUUGGUCUGCAUUGGUAAAUUUCACCCUGAUAUUUUAGUCAUUAACUCUACUAAUUCAUGUGAAACCCUGAGUGGCUUGGCAGGGCAAAACAAGGGCAACAGUGGGUGAUUGGGGUAAAGGAGCACAAGACAGCAGCACAGCAAGUGGCUGCCUUUGCCCCAUCAGAGGAGGAGAUGCAUGUAAGUUCAUCACAUUUCCUGUCAGAACCUGUCAGAACAUUAACCUUAAUUUUUUCUCCUCUGCCAACAGUGGUUUGAUGUCUCCUACAGACUGGUGCAGCCACAACUCCUGAGACCCACCAGGAAUUGCAAGAGGGAUGUGAAAUGGAAACAUUUGAACAGUUGUGAUAAUCUGGGCCUACCUGCUGCACCGGGGCAAGUUCCAGGAGGCGCUGGGCUUCUACAGAGAGGUCCUGACACGAGACAAGAAGUGUGUGACCAUCCCCAGUCAGCGGCACUGUGUCAUCUACUACAGCUUCCUGCUGAGGAACCAGCUGCUGUACAAACCCGUCGCUCUGCUCUUCCACAAGAUGCUGUUUGAAACCAUCCCCAUGUUUACUGGAGGAACCUGCAAACCCUGCAAGUCCUGCCACAAGAUGAACAAGAUAAUGAAGAAGAUGAAGUGGAGGACAAGCUCAAAGGUGCAGGCACUGAUGGGAAACCUCCUCAGGCCGCGAUGUGAAGUUCAUUGUGAAAGACUCAGUAGAGGAGAAGAUGGUGGAGAUCCAGAGGGGGAAGCAGGACCUGGUGGAGAAGGCUUUUGGCUCCAAGAACAAUGACAGGAAAACAUCUUGCAUCAAUGACAUCAAGGCUCUGAUGGAGCUAUAGAUGUCUGACAAUGGGCCUGAGCUAAUGUGUCAACAGUGCAACAAGACAAACCUUGAACCAU